ACUCAAAGGAAUUGACGGGGACCCGCACAAGCAGCGGAGCGUGUGGUUUAAUUCGAUGCGACGCGAAGAACCUUACCUGGGUUUGACAUGCUUCUGGUAGCGAAGGGAAACCUAAGCGACUCGCAAGAGAGGAAGCACAGGUGCUGCAUGGCUGUCGUCAGCUCGUGUCGUGAGAUGUUGGGUUAAGUCCCGCAACGAGCGCAACCCUCGGUGCAUGUUUUACGUGUCAUGCACAACUGCCCGCCAGAAGCGGGAGGAAGGUGGGGAUGACGUCAAGUCAGCAUGGCCUUUAUAUCCAGGGCGACACACACGCUACAAUGGCGCGUACAAUGGGCAGCGAGUGGGCGACCACAAGCGAAUCCCUCAAAGCGCGUCUUAGUUCGGAUUGGAGUCUGCAACUCGACUCCAUGAAGGCGGAGUUGCUAGUAACCGCGCGUCAGCCAUAGUGCGGUGAAUGCGUUCCCGGGUCUUGCACACACCGCCCGU
This 486-nucleotide ribosomal RNA is filed under the name uncultured bacterium. RNAcentral's name for it is "partial 16S ribosomal RNA". It matches the Rfam family "Bacterial small subunit ribosomal RNA", at positions 899 to 1397 of the family's 1533-position model. The record is from RNAcentral.